UAACCCGUAUUCAUUGGGCAAUGUGACCGAAUGAUGACUCCGAUAUCAUGAACCAACAAACUAUGUACUUCAGAACUUGUUGCUCGUCUACUUACUGAAUUGUAUAAAAAUCGAAUUUUCUCUCGAGUUGUACGAACAAUACGAGAUGUCUUAAUUUGUUUACAUGCUCCUUGAGUAGGAUGAUCAUCAAGAGUCCUUAGCAAGUGUCCUACAUCUAUACCUACAAAACCAAUAAUAAAAGUCGAACAUGUAAAUGAACUUCAUAAAGUAAGAAAAUUAACUAUUAAUAAAGUAAACACACUACCUUCAGAAUCAUCUAUUUCAUCGU
This 328-nucleotide long non-coding RNA is filed under the name Olea europaea (common olive). RNAcentral's name for it is "long non-coding RNA (OEUR_LNC014979)". Lineage: Eukaryota; Viridiplantae; Streptophyta; Magnoliopsida; Lamiales; Oleaceae. The record is from RNAcentral.